GAAGAUACAAGAAGGGAUGAAGAGACGGGCAUACCUGCUUCUGUUGACUGAAGGUGCGUGCAGCGCUGAUGAUGUUUCCCUUUUGCCUUCCUCUGCUUCGGGAGGCGAAGAUGCUUGCAGCGCUGAUGGAUUCUUGCCUAUUGCUUCCCUUUAUCUUCCUUCUGUGUUCACUUGUAUGCGUGUUCCUUUUGUUUUCUCAGCAGCUUUUGAAGCCGAGAAGAUGAUGAAGAGGCCAGCCUGCUGGGAAUUUGUUUUGAUUCUGGGUUUUCGUUGUUUGCAGGGACGAAGGCAUUGGCAGGGCCAAUACUCGUCUCUGUGUAUUGCUGCUCUCUUGUUCUCUCCGUCUCUCUGUGUAUUAUUUCUUUCUCUGGAUUUAUGCUCUGUUUUUCCUCUGUUCUUUUCUCCGGUUUCUGGUUUUUUGUCUGGGUUUAGCUUCAGUUCUGCCCCUCCCUGUUUUCGUCUUUCACCCCAUCGGUUCUUGGCCUGUUAGUCCCUCUCUGUUUUCUGGGUUUUUUCUCUGGGUUUUUACUUGAGUUUUUGCAGAGCAGGAGGAUUUUUGCUUGCGUUUUCUGCCUUGGUUUUUCGCUCAAACCCCCUCCUGGUUCUGUUUCAUCCUCCUGCUCGUUGUCUGUGUGUCUGUCUUUUUUUAUUGUCUCUUGUAUUUUUCUUCUGUUUCAAUUCGUGCUCUGCCUUUCCCUGUAUUUUUUUUGGGUUUUUUCCUUGUGUCGUUUAGGUUCCUCUCUAAUCGUCUUCUCCCUCCUUUUUUAUACCUGAGAUCUGUAUUUACAGUGAUAAAAUUUUUUCGUGCGG
This 810-nucleotide long non-coding RNA is filed under the name Populus trichocarpa (black cottonwood). Its description in RNAcentral is "long non-coding RNA (PTRI_LNC003872)". Lineage: Eukaryota; Viridiplantae; Streptophyta; Magnoliopsida; Malpighiales; Salicaceae. The record is from RNAcentral.